CAUUAUACAGCGAAACUGCGAAUGGCUCAUUAUAUAAGUUAUCGUUUAUUUGAUAGUACCUUACUACUUGGAUAACCGUGGUAAUUAAAAUCCCGACUUCGGAAGGGAUGUAUUUAUUAGAUUAAAAACCAAUGCCCUCUGGGCUCUCUGGUGAUUCAUGAUAACUUCUCGAAUCGCAUGGCCUUGCGCCGGCGAUGGUUCAUUCAAAUUUCUUCCCUAUCAACUUUCGAUGUUUGGGUAUUGGCCAAACAUGGUCGCAACGGGUAACGGAGGGUUAGGGCUCGACCCCGGAGAAGGAGCCUGAGAAACGGCUACUACAUCCAAGGAAGGCAGCAGGCGCGCAAAUUACCCAAUCCCGACACGGGGAGGUAGUGACAAUAAAUACUGAUACAGGGCUCUUUCGGGUCUUGUAAUUGGAAUGAGUACAAUUUAAAUCCCUUAACGAGGAACAAUUGGAGGGCAAGUCUGGUGCCAGCAGCCGCGGUAAUUCCAGCUCCAAUAGCGUAUAUUAAAGUUGUUGUGGUUAAAAAGCUCGUAGUUGAACCUUGGGCCUGGCUGGCCGGUCCGCCUCACCGCGUGUACUGGUCCGGCCGGGCCUUUCCCUCUGUGGAACCUCAUGCCCUUCACUGGGCGUGACGGGGAAACAGGACUUUUACUGUGAAAAAAUUAGAGUGCUCCAGGCAGGCCUAUGCUCGAAUACAUUAGCAUGGAAUAAUGAAAUAGGACGUGCGGUUCUAUUUUGUUGGUUUCUAGGACCGCCGUAAUGAUUAAUAGGGACAGUCGGGGGCAUCAGUAUUCAAUUGUCAGAGGUGAAAUUCUUGGAUUUAUUGAAGACUAACUACUGCGAAAGCAUUUGCCAAGGAUGUUUUCAUUAAUCAGGAACGAAAGUUAGGGGAUCGAAGACGAUCAGAUACCGUCGUAGUCUUAACCAUAAACUAUGCCGACUAGGGAUCGGACGAUGUAAAUAAUUGACUCGUUCGGCACCUUACGAGAAAUCAAA
Molecule: ribosomal RNA, 1000 nt
Filed under: Simplicillium subtropicum
Lineage: Eukaryota; Fungi; Ascomycota; Sordariomycetes; Hypocreales; Cordycipitaceae
Description: SSU rRNA
Rfam family: Eukaryotic small subunit ribosomal RNA
Source: RNAcentral